GACGAACGCCGGCGGCGUGCCUAAUACAUGCAAGUAGAACGCUGAAGGAGGAGCUUGCUUCUCCGGAUGAGUUGCGAACGGGUGAGUAACGCGUAGGUAACCUGCCUGGUAGCGGGGGAUAACUAUUGGAAACGAUAGCUAAUACCGCAUAAUAGCAGUUGUUGCAUGACAUUUGCUUAAAAGGUGCAAUUGCAUCACUACCAGAUGGACCUGCGUUGUAUUAGCUAGUUGGUGGGGUAACGGCUCACCAAGGCGACGAUACAUAGCCGACCUGAGAGGGUGAUCGGCCACACUGGGACUGAGACACGGCCCAGACUCCUACGGGAGGCAGCAGUAGGGAAUCUUCGGCAAUGGACGGAAGUCUGACCGAGCAACGCCGCGUGAGUGAAGAAGGUUUUCGGAUCGUAAAGCUCUGUUGUAAGAGAAGAAACGAGUGUGAGAAGUGGAAAGUUUCACACUGUGACGGAUUUUACC
Molecule: ribosomal RNA, 474 nt
Filed under: Streptococcus mitis
Lineage: Bacteria; Bacillati; Bacillota; Bacilli; Lactobacillales; Streptococcaceae
Description: bacterial SSU rRNA
Rfam family: Bacterial small subunit ribosomal RNA
Source: RNAcentral